GUAAGGAAUAUUGGUCAAUGGACGCAAGUCUGAACCAGCCAUGCCGCGUGGAGGAUGAAGGUCCUCUGGAUUGUAAACUUCUUUUAUCUGGGAAGAAACCCAUAUUUUCUAGUGUGGUUGACGGUACCAGAUGAAUAAGCACCGGCUAACUCCGUGCCAGCAGCCGCGGUAAUACGGAGGGUGCAAGCGUUAUCCGGAUUCACUGGGUUUAAAGGGUGCGUAGGCGGGUUGGUAAGUCCGUGGUGAAAUCUCCGAGCUUAACUCGGAAACUGCCGUGGAUACUAUCAAUCUUGAAUAUCGUGGAGGUAAGCGGAAUAUGUCAUGUAGCGGUGAAAUGCUUAGAUAUGACAUAGAACACCAAUUGCGAAGGCAGCUUACUACACAACGAUUGACGCUGAGGCACGAAAGCGUGGGGAUCAAAC
Molecule: ribosomal RNA, 422 nt
Filed under: uncultured bacterium
Lineage: Bacteria
Description: bacterial SSU rRNA
Rfam family: Bacterial small subunit ribosomal RNA
Source: RNAcentral